UACUAAGUUGGGGCACUUUAAAGAGACUGCCGGUGUUAAACCGGAGGAAGGUGGGGAUGACGUCAAGUCCUCAUGGCCUUUAUGUCCAGGGCUACACACGUGCUACAAUGGGUGGUACAAAGAGCAGCGACCUCGCGAGUGGAAGCAAAUCUCAAAAAGCCAUCCUAAGUUCGGAUUGGAGUCUGCAACUCGACUCCAUGAAGUCGGAAUCGCUAGUAAUCGCGGAUCAGCACGCCGCGGUGAAUACGUUCCCGGGCCUU
This 260-nucleotide ribosomal RNA is filed under the name uncultured Syntrophaceae bacterium. Its description in RNAcentral is "partial 16S ribosomal RNA". It matches the Rfam family "Bacterial small subunit ribosomal RNA", at positions 1123 to 1382 of the family's 1533-position model. Lineage: Bacteria; Pseudomonadati; Thermodesulfobacteriota; Syntrophia; Syntrophales; Syntrophaceae. The record is from RNAcentral.